This is a long non-coding RNA of Sinocyclocheilus rhinocerous, 336 nucleotides long. RefSeq lists it as uncharacterized. NCBI's taxonomy places the organism in Eukaryota, Metazoa, Chordata, Actinopteri, Cypriniformes, Cyprinidae. The record is from RefSeq and is a predicted model, not a curated record. The transcript has 3 exons.
GAUUACCCUAAUGUUUGUUUCCACAGAAGGAGCGCUUUCUGUCAGCAGGCUGGAAAAGUGUAAACGCACUGGACAUGAUGACGGUCUACAGCAUGCUUCCUCAGGAAGAUGUAGCUAGAAUUGAGCGUCUAGAGUUUUUAGAUGAAAAGGAACUUCUCCAACAGCUUCUACAACACUACUGCAUUUGCUGGGCUGUAAAAGAUAAGCUCAAUCUAGGCCUCUCACAAAUUGGGUUUUAAACGUCAGUUUGGACUUGGUUGUAAAAGUUUCAUUUGAUCAGCAAGAGUGGACAGGAUGCUCUUCUUGACGCUUUUCAGAGGAUAGGAAGGGGAAGUC